CUCAGAACUAGCCCCCAAACUCAUUUUUCUAGCAGGAUGUCAGCCUAGUCUGCACUGGUCAGGAAUAAAUAAGAAGUGGGGGUAAGGAGUAAAAGGGAGAGGGAGAGCAUUGUUUUUCACGCAAAAAUCUUUAGAACUUUAAGAGUUCCCGUUGUGGCUCAGUAGGUUAAGAACUUGAAACAGUGUCCGUGAGGAUGUGAGUUGGAUCCCUCGCCUCGCUCAGUGGGUUAAGGAUCCGGUGGUGCUGUGGCUGUGGUGUAGGCCAGCACCUGUAGCUCUGAUUCGACCCCUAGCCUGGGAACCUCCACACACCGCAGGUGUGGCCCUAAAAAGAGAAAAAAAAAUCUUGGGAUUUUAGGCCCAAUUCUGUAUUCUUGGAUAAUGCUCCUUUUUGGGGAGUGUUGCUUGUUUGUUGUUGUUGUCAUUGUGGGUUUUCUCUGAAAACAAAGGCCAGCAUUUAGUGAACUUGUGCUUUUCCUUCCAGCUUGAAAAUAUGUCCUACGGCAUCCAGCAACCACUCUACAUAAACUAACAAACGAAACCAAAAAUGUGCUUUCACUCAAACUCAUUCCCAACUGGAGUAGAGUUCCCCGAAGUGAGCAAAGAUUGGUUCUCGUCAGGGGACAAAAAUCAUAGCUGUGACAGCGGUUCGUGGCUCUCCAAAGGGCCCUGGAACAGAUGUGCGGCGUAUCUGUCGUAGUCAAGUGUCCUGGGGGUGGGACAGUUGGGUGAAAAUGUACGGAAGGGCGGGGACUGGGGAACCGUGAAAAAAAGGUUGAGACGCACCGUUGUCACAUGCUUCAGGGAGACUGUCUUCCUGUGUAUCUGUGGAGCCUUUGAAGGUGUCCCCCUGUUCACUUAGCUUUGAGAGCGGCCUCCCCGUGAGGCUCUGCUGGGUCCCUUGGACAUUUACUGGCCGUAACACAGGGGCACUGACCUCUGCUGGUGACAGGUCUGAUCCCAGCUUGGUGCUUGCUGAUCUCAUCCCGUCGUUUUAGAAGCUUCUGGUCCUCUGUCAUCCGGACUCUACCCUUCCUUCCCUGCUGAGUUUGCACACUUGGCCCAGACAAGAGGUUUUUCUCUUUCUUGAUUGUAAAAGUAGUUCGUUUUAUGAAAUGUUUACAGACGAAGCUUUUCUUCUUUGGCUGGCCCCGAAUUUGAAAGCUUGCCGUAUUUAAUAGGUUUCGGGAAGGCAUUCGAAAGCCGCUGAAGUCAGGCUCCAGCUUCCUGGUUGAUGGUGUCUGGAUUCCAGGAGCUGGAGCAGUUUUGAGACCGCAGAGGUCUUGUCAUCUGAAACACUAAGACCCCUGCCUGCUUUGAGCAAGAGAAGAGCACAGAGGGACUGAGGACACCCGAAGUGGCCCCGUGACCGAGCUUCACAAGCCUCAUAAUGGAAAGUCAUCAGAAGCCAAGGCAGUGCUGCUGAGUCAUGUCCACGAUGACAGGCUCUCCUCGACCUUCCCUCUCGAGACUGGCUCUGUCUGCUCUGGGGAUUGGGGGGCGGGGGGGCACUCCGCAGCCCUGUGGUCAGCUGGCCAGGGUCCAGAACAGUGAUUCAGACGCUCCAUAGCUGGGCUGCUUCCACCCACACAGAAUCCUUGCAGCUCUGUCACACAGAAUCCUUGAAACGCUCUGUCUCACCUGCGAAUUUUAAAGCCGAAAAAUUUUGAUACCACAAGGCAUUUGGAGUUUACUCAAAAAAAGUGGAAGGAUUUUUGUCCUUUUUCUAUGAUUAUAAUAACUGGCGCAGAGUUCCUAUCAUGGCUCAGCCGAAACGAAUCUGACUAGCAUCCCUGAGGACGCAGGUUCGAUCCCUGGCCUCGCUCAGUGGGUUAAGGAUCCGGCGUUGCCGUGAGCUGAGGUGUAGGUUGCAGACGCGGCUCGGAUCCCUCAUUGCUGUGGCUGUGGUGUAGGCCGGCGGCUACAGCUCCAGUUGGACCCCUCACCUGGGACCCUCCGUAUGCCUUGGGUGCGGCCUUAAAAAGCAAAACAAAAAAAUUCUAAGAGGGAAAAGCUUCUGUCACCCUGCUUCAUGGAGGAGGAAAUGAAGGAGGUGAGGGGUUGAGUGAGUUACCUCCGGGGACGCAUCUGGGAAGGUGGGGUCAGCAGGUUUCAAAGGCCGUCGUUGGGCUCCGAGCCAGGCCGUGUGACCGACAUGGACUAAUCUACAGCCGGAAACCCUCUUUCCAUUUUCUCACGUCCUAUUCAUUCUUCAGCCCAUUUCCACCGCUCCACCCAGCUUCCUGAGGUGGUCACUCGUGGCUCCAUUCUGCAAACUCCAGUGGCCACUCAGUCCUUUUCUCAUUUUGAGCUCUCGGUCGCUGUCACCAGAGAUGACCUCUGCCCCCUUCUCCCCGAAAACCCUCCGGUGUUCUCUGCACACCUCCUCGUUUCCUCCGUGCAUCUCAGUUUUGUUUUCAGUAGGAGAUUUAGCAGCGUCAAACACACGUGCCACACGCCUGCCCUCCUUUCUCAACAGCGGCUGUUGGACUUGCUCCCGGCCCAUCUGAAGUCCCCUUGUCUUGCCCUCUGGGACCCUCACCCUGGGCAGCCUCCCCGCCUGUCGCCCAGGGUGUGGGUACACGAUGCUUCGAUAACUAGUGACGCCCGGUAGAUAUUUGCAGCCAGAUCUCUCGAGUGUUGGGGCGCCUGUUGGAUGUCUCUGCCUGAGCCGCUCCCCGUCUCUCUGCUCUGUCGUCCCCCCGCCCCGCUUCAGUAGUACCACGUCCCCUGGUACCACGUCCCCUGGUUGUUUGAUUUGUUUUGUAGUUUAACACAAAUGACGUUUGGCUCUGGCUCGCUCCCUCUCCCGCAUGCACGUUUGCAGUCCUCUCACUGUCACCUGCUAAGUACCCACGUGUCUCUGUCACUUCUGUCCUCGCUCCAGGCCAGGCCAUCGUCAUCUUUCUCUUGACUAUUAAACAGUCUGACCUCUCCAGCACCUACUCGGGCCCCUCCCGUCAGCUUCAGCUGCAGUCAGACACAGUUUCUAAGAACAUGGACCUAGGAGCUCCCACUGUGGCACAACGGGACUGGCAGCAUCUCGAGCACUGGGACGCAGACUCGCUCCCCGGCCCUGCGUAGCAGGUUAAGCGUCUGGCGUUGCCACAGCUACGGCUUCAGUCUGAUCUGAUCCCCGGCUCGGGAACGCCGUUUGCCACGGGGAGGCCAAAAACCAGAUAAACAAACCCUGUUCCCUAAUCCUGUCACUUCCACGUUUAAAAGCCUCUCUGACUUUCCUCUGCCUUUAGGCCGGAGCCGAGACUUCUUGCUCUGUUCCCGGACGUGCCGCACUGGCUCCUCCCUCUGCCGCCUCCGUGCCGUCUAGACGUCACACGGGCUGUUCCCUCACCCUGGGUUCUUCCCUGUCCUCUUGGCCACCUGCUCGUUUUCUCCAGGUCUCAGCCUAAAUGUCACUUCCUUGGGAACAGUGACUUUCUGGAAGCCCCGGAAAGGCCUUCACAUAUUAUCUCGUGAUCCCGCGUAGUUGACGGUGCCGUUAAGAAGAAACAUUUAUUCAUGUCUCUUGGCCGUUGUGGGAGCUCUGGGAGGAGGGCACGCAAAGCUUCACAUGUGCCAGCUCUCCAGGAUGGUGCGACGAGUAGACUGAGUGGUGGUAAAUACUUUUUACUCCCGUGAACCGGUUUUUUGGCGCUUUAACUCUACUCUGGCACGAGGACCAGCCCGAUAGCCGGGACGUCCGAGGUAACGUUCCCUCUUAGGAAGCAAGCAAGCAUGUCCACGUGAGGCCUGAGAGGAGGUCCGUUCGCCCAGCUGACGUGCUGAUCACAGAGCCCUGGCGAGGCGGGGGGACAGGGUGCCUCCCUGCCAGGUGCGCCAAGGCCUCUCCCCCUCAGUGGGAGGCGGGAGAGACUGGCCAGCGCCCGGAUGGUCCCAGGCAGUGACGGCGGGUCAGGACUGGCGUCCAUGAUCUGGUGGCUUCGGGAAGAGGCUUUGAGCGCUUUCUUUUGUGACUAUGACGUAAGUGUAACUUAACUCAGAUACUAAAAGGAGAGCCGUUUGGGGGGGACGAAUUUGGGAACCAUUGGAUCAAAUCGUAGUCAUUGUUUUAAUCUUUUCAUUUGCUGCUUCUGUCCCUCUUGGAGCUGUUUCCUGUGUGUCUGAAUUUCUUUCAGGUCAUCGAAGUUUCUGGACUUUGUAGCACCUGGUUCAUUUUAUCUUAGGUUACACUUUGAUCAUUUGUCUCUUGUAAGUUGCUACCAAUAAACUGUUACCUUUUACACACAGUGUUAUUUUAUGGAUCCUGUUUAAUUGGUCUGCGAAGGCCUCCUCAGGCGUCCACAUUCUCACCAUCCGUUUUUCCCUUUUCUGGCUCCUUCCACAUUGAUUUCUCUGGCUUUGGUGCCUGCACAUGUGGCAUGUCCCCCCUUUGCGCUGCAUGUGUAGUUAACGUCACAUAAUUGAGAGCAUGAGUCAGACUCAGAUGGGAGUCCUGAUUCUUCUACGUAAUGGCUGUGAGGUCCAGGCAAGUUAUUUCAAGCCUCAGUCCCUCCACUUGUACGCAGGGCAUGACAGUAGCAUCUAGCAAAUCGGAUUAUAUGCGCGUUAAAUAACCUGAACGUCCUACUCACUUCGGUACCUGCUGUGUAGUCCAGUCUCCAGGAAUAUAACUGGUGAUGACCCCAGAAAGGACCAAAAGGGCAACCAAGGAAAAAUUUAAACUCGAAGCCGCCAUUAGUGUGUCCUCGACAACAGCCGCUGGUCCAGUGCCAGCUCCGCAUCUGUACCUCAGACCUUGCCCUGGGGAACGAGUGCGCAGGGCACCCGGGCGGCAGCAUCGCUGGUCGGGGGGGUGAGGUGGUUUAUCCCGAUCCCCAGGAGCGCUCUGCGGGCAGAACGGCGGCGUUGUCACCACCUUGCAAAUGAAGAAUUCAGGCCAAGGGGAUGAAGGGAUUGGCUCAAGGUCACACUUGAGGGCACUUCGGAUACAGGUUUGGUCUAGCUCUGCCCCGUCCGUCCUUCUCCACGCGACGCCCCUGGGACCUGGAAUUCCCGGAGUCCCCCCUGGAGGAGGGUGGCCUGCUCCCUAACAAACGGAGGAGAGGACCCGGAGCCUGUGAGCGCCUCACCUCUUCUGUGGUGAGCGCUUUAUUCUGCAGGCCGUUUUCUCCUACUUUGAUCUGAAAUCCUAAGUCCGAAUAGCGCUUACACACCUUCAAGAACCACGACGUGCUGUACUGCAGGCCAAGGCCUGUGGCGGGAGGAGCCCUUGUAAUGCGAAACCCCAAAGACGGCACGUGUUGCCAGACAGAUGUUUAAGCUCUGGUAAUGGAAAUGUGUCAGCACGCACCAGUAGAGCCUUCUGUCCCAGCGUCACACGGCAGCAUGCUGGUGGGCUUAUGGUGACAAGCCAGUCUUCAAUUUACCUGAUCCACUCAGCUGGGCUGCCACGUUGCCAUGAUUCAAGGUGGUUUGCUGAGUAUGUUCACUUCUCUCUCCUCGCCCCAAAAUGCUGCUGAAGUGACGGCAGUCAGGGAAAUGGAAUGCAGACAGUAGUCUUGCUCAACAAAAGCAAAAGCUAAUUUCUUGGAAAAGACCAAUAACGUGGAUAAAUCUGUAUCAAGUCUGUUCAAGAAAAAAAGUGAAUAAAAAUACAAAGCAGGCGUUUCCUUGUAGCGCAGUGGGGUAAGGAUCCAGCAUUGUCACUGGAGUAGCUCGGGUCACUGCUGUGGUGCAAACUGCAUCCCUGGCCUGGGGAACUUCCAUCCGCCCUGGGCACAGCCCCCCAAAGAGGAAAAGAAAAUGCAUGGCAACAGAAAUAAGAGGGGCUCCUUAAUUAUAAAUGCAGAGAUGUAGAAAGUGACAGUAAAAGAAAUCUGGGCAUUCCCGUUGCGGCUCGGCAGGUUAAGAACCCGGCUAAUAUCCGUGAGGAUGAGUUCAAUCCCUGGCCUCAGUCAGUGGAUUAAGGAUCCGGGGUGGCCCCAGGCUGCAGCAUAGGCUACAGACGUGGCUUGGAUCCUGCUUUGCUGUGGCAGGCUGGCAGCUGGAGCUCCAGUUUGACCCCAGCCUGAGAACUUCCAUAUGCCAUAGGAGCAGCC
This 6059-nucleotide long non-coding RNA is filed under the name Sus scrofa (pig). Its description in RNAcentral is "lncRNA (ENSSSCG00045000083.1)". Lineage: Eukaryota; Metazoa; Chordata; Mammalia; Artiodactyla; Suidae. The record is from RNAcentral.